GGCCUUGAUCUUUGUACUUCUCAUGUAAGUGGUUGAGAUCUUUGUAGUUUGAAUCAGUCAAACCGCAUUUGGACGCAACAUUCACGAUCAGUAGGACCUUUCCCUUGUAGGUACUAAGAUCAACAUCAUUUCCCUUUGCAUCCUUUAGAGUAAAGUCAUAGACAGAUUCUGGCUUCUUCUCCGGUUGACCGGCCAUCGUCGUCGUGGUCGGAAUGUGGUACUCUUU
RNAcentral lists this unclassified non-coding RNA (226 nucleotides) under Hevea brasiliensis (rubber tree). The record is from RNAcentral. Lineage: Eukaryota; Viridiplantae; Streptophyta; Magnoliopsida; Malpighiales; Euphorbiaceae.